RNAcentral lists this ribosomal RNA (273 nucleotides) under uncultured bacterium. RNAcentral describes it as "partial 16S ribosomal RNA". It matches the Rfam family "Bacterial small subunit ribosomal RNA", at positions 524 to 796 of the family's 1533-position model. The record is from RNAcentral.
AACGUAGGAGGCGAGCGUUAUCCGGAUUUAUUGGGCGUAAAGCGCGUGCAGGUGGUAUCGUAAGUCGGAUGUGAAAGCCUCUGGCUCAACUGGAGGAUGUCGUUCGAUACUGCGGAACUUGAGGUCGGGAGAGGGAAGCGGAAUUCCCGGUGUAGUGGUGGAAUGCGUAGAUAUCGGGAGGAACACCAGUGGCGAAGGCGGCUUCCUGGCCCGCACCUGACACUAAGACGCGAAAGCGUGGGGAGCGAACGGGAUUAGAUACCCCCGUAGUCC